Molecule: non-coding RNA, 20 nt
Filed under: Drosophila melanogaster (fruit fly)
Lineage: Eukaryota; Metazoa; Arthropoda; Insecta; Diptera; Drosophilidae
Source: RNAcentral
UUUCAGGACUUGUUACAAGA